RNAcentral lists this ribosomal RNA (163 nucleotides) under uncultured fungus. RNAcentral's name for it is "5.8S ribosomal RNA". It matches the Rfam family "5.8S ribosomal RNA". From Rfam's summary of the family: 5.8S ribosomal RNA (5.8S rRNA) is a component of the large subunit of the eukaryotic ribosome. It is transcribed by RNA polymerase I as part of the 45S precursor that also contains 18S and 28S rRNA. Lineage: Eukaryota; Fungi. The record is from RNAcentral.
CAACUUUCAACAACGGAUCUCUUGGCUCUCGCAUCGAUGAAGAACGCAGCGAAAUGCGAUAAGUAAUGUGAAUUGCAGAAUUCAGUGAAUCAUCGAAUCUUUGAACGCACCUUGCGCUCCUUGGUAUUCCGAGGAGCAUGCCUGUUUGAGUGUCUUGAAGUCA